GAUGAAGAACGUAGCGAAAUGCGAUAAGUAAUGUGAAUUGCAGAAUUCAGUGAAUCAUCGAAUCUUUGAACGCACCUUGCGCUCCUUGGUAUUCCAAGGAGCAUGCCUGUUUGAGUAUCAUUAAAUUAUCAACUGUGCCAAUUUGGUUACAGAUUGGAUGUGGGAGAUUCUUUUUGCAGGCCUUUGACUUCUCUUUGAGAAAAAAAAUAAAAGGUCGGCUCUCCUGAAAUGUAUUAGCAGUGCCUUUGUUGGUUCAUUAGGUGUGAUAAAUUGUCUACAUCUUCGCAUGAUACCUUCAUUUGUAAAGGUCAUAUUGCUUCUAAAUUGUCUUUGAUUGGACGCAAAACAUAUAUAAUGUUUGACAAACUUGAUCUCAAAUCAGGCAGGACUACCCGCUGAACUUAAGCAUAUCAAUAAGCGGAGA
Molecule: unclassified non-coding RNA, 424 nt
Filed under: soil metagenome
Description: partial contains 5.8S ribosomal RNA, internal transcribed spacer 2, and large subunit ribosomal RNA
Rfam family: 5.8S ribosomal RNA (bases 1-120)
Source: RNAcentral